CCUGACGCAGCNACGCCGCGUGGGGGAUGACGGCCUUCGGGUUGUAAACCUCUUUCGACCGGGACGAAGGAUUCGUUUGACGGUACCGGUAGAAGAAGCACCGGCUAACUACGUGCCAGCAGCCGCGGUAAUACGUAGGGUGCGAGCGUUGUCCGGAAUUAUUGGGCGUAAAGAGCUCGUAGGCGGUUUGUCGCGUCGGCCGUGAAAUCCUGCCGCUUAACGGUGGGCGUGCGGUCGAUACGGGCAGACUUGAGUUCGGUAGGGGAGACUGGAAUUCCUGGUGUAGCGGUGAAAUGCGCAGAUAUCAGGAGGAACACCGGUGGCGAAGGCGGGUCUCUGGGCCGAUACUGACGCUGAGGAGCGAAAGCGUGGGGAGCGAACAGGAUUAGAUACCCUGGUAGUCCACGCCGUAAACGGUGGGCGCUAGGUGUGGGGACUGUUUCCACGGUUCCUGUGCCGUAGCUAACGCAUUAAGCGCCCCGCCUGGGGAGUACGGCCGCAAGGCUAAAACUCAAAGGAAUUGACGG
This 527-nucleotide ribosomal RNA is filed under the name uncultured bacterium. RNAcentral's name for it is "bacterial SSU rRNA". It matches the Rfam family "Bacterial small subunit ribosomal RNA", at positions 382 to 916 of the family's 1533-position model. The record is from RNAcentral.